GUGGGCGCGGACCCGGGCGCUCGCACGUGCGGGCGCGCCCGCGGGUGGGCGGUGCGUGGGGCUCCGGCCCGAGUCCCCCAGCCACGGUCGUUCGGGCUUGCCGCUACCCCGCGCCUGCCCUCUCUCCUGGUGCCAAGGACCCCGUCCGCGCGCGCCCCGGGUCUCGGGCUCCUCUUUCCUCUCGAGUCCGUGCCAGGCUUCCGAGGCAGGCGCGCUCCUACUCGCCACCGCUGGGAAGCUGCGAACAUCCACACAAGAUUGUCCAUCACUUUUGGUCACUUCUCUCUGCACAGUCAUCAACACAGGUGCCCGUCAGAAUAUCGAUGAAAGUCCUGGCACUAACCUAGAUGGAACCCAGGGCCUCACCAUGCUAGUCAAGUGCUCCACUGCUGAGACAGGGUCUUGGCUAAGUUGCCAGUCUGGCCCUGAACUUGCCAUCCUCCUGCCUUUGCCUUCCAAGCAGCUGUGAUGACAGCUGUGGCCACUGCACCUGGCUCCUGGUCAUCUCGAUGAAGCUGGGUGUUGGCAUAUGAACUUCACUGGGUCUGAUGUGUGUUUAAAACCUUCCAUAUUAAAAAAAAAAUCAUUUU
Marmota monax (woodchuck) is the source of this 590-nucleotide long non-coding RNA. RefSeq lists it as uncharacterized. The transcript is spliced from 3 exons. The record is from RefSeq and is a predicted model, not a curated record. NCBI's taxonomy places the organism in Eukaryota, Metazoa, Chordata, Mammalia, Rodentia, Sciuridae.